UAGAGUUUGAUCAUGGCUCAGAACGAACGCUGGCGGCACGCUUAACACAUGCAAGUCAAGUAGAAAGGGUUUCGGCCUGAGUAUACUGGCGCACGGGUGAGUAAUGCCUAGGGAUCUGCCUGGUAGUGGGGGACAACGUUUCGAAAGGAACGCUAAUACCGCAUACGUCCUACGGGAGAAAGUGGGGGAUCUUCGGACCUCACGCUAUCAGAUGAGCCUAGGUCGGAUUAGCUAGUUGGUGAGGUAAAGGCUCACCAAGGCGACGAUCCGUAACUGGUCUGAGAGGAUGAUCAGUCACACUGGAACUGAGACACGGUCCAGACUCCUACGGGAGGCAGCAGUGGGGAAUAUUGGACAAUGGGCGAAAGCCUGAUCCAGCCAUGCCGCGUGUGUGAAGAAGGUCUUCGGAUUGUAAAGCACUUUAAGUUGGGAGGAAGGGCAGUAAGUUAAUACCUUGCUGUUUUGACGUUACCAACAGAAUAAGCACCGGCUAACUUCGUGCCAGCCGCCGCGGUAAUUCA
This 521-nucleotide ribosomal RNA is filed under the name Pseudomonadaceae bacterium 29bG. RNAcentral describes it as "bacterial SSU rRNA". It matches the Rfam family "Bacterial small subunit ribosomal RNA", at positions 1 to 527 of the family's 1533-position model. The record is from RNAcentral. Lineage: Bacteria; Pseudomonadati; Pseudomonadota; Gammaproteobacteria; Pseudomonadales; Pseudomonadaceae.